RNAcentral lists this long non-coding RNA (952 nucleotides) under Marmota monax (woodchuck). The record is from RNAcentral. Lineage: Eukaryota; Metazoa; Chordata; Mammalia; Rodentia; Sciuridae.
GGCAAACAGCAGAGAAAGAACUGGGCGAGCAAGGGGGAUCCAGAGCUGGGGCGCCAGAGCUAGCGACAGCGGGCGGGCGAGGAGCUGGCAGAGGCGCGGGGCAAGCGGGCCGGCCGGGGCGACAAGCGGGCGAACCCCGGGGCCGCGGGGCUUGGGUGCGAGUCGGGCAGGGCGAGGGGCUGAGGGCAGGGAGCGGAGCGAGGCGUCGGCUGAGGCGGGGGUGGAUGGCCACAGGGGCGCCGGGGAGCCGAGUCGGGCUUGCGGUCUCGGACCCCCAUGGUCCCCUAACGCAGCCCCGGGGGCCGCUGCGCGCCACACUCGGUUCUCGCCGGCCCUGCGCCUUUUGGAGCCUCGGGUCUGAGGUGGGAGUGUGAUGUGAGCUGCUGGACUAGCGGCGGAGAGAAGUGCCAAAAGGAGGAGGUAUUGGGACGGGAGAAGAGAGCGAGUUAGUCAGCAGAGGUCUGCCGAGGGAGUCGAGGAGCGGGCCAGCCCGAGAGCGCCAUGAAAACUACUCUCCAGCAGGGAGAGGGGCAGGCGCGGCGCUCGGUGCCGCGGGGCUGAAGGAAAUCCGGGGCCGCGGCGGGACGGAAGGGGCCCGCGGCGAGCAGGCUGCACAGAGCAGUGGGUGAGCGAGCGCUCAGCUGUAAACACCUUCCUUGGGGGCAGACCUCAGGCUGGGCCACGUAGGGACGGGGUUUGUAGAGGGCGACCCGGGACAGUCCGGGAGAGUUCGUUUGAGCUGGGGGCUGGGCGCCAGAAGAUGACUCGAAUUUCUUUCAGACCCUCUUAUUGUGUAAACUUGGCCGCUGUUGCCUCAGGAAGGCUAGCCAGAGGGUAAUUACACAGGUGAGGCCGGGCGGGGCGGGCGGAGCUCUUGGGAAACGCAAGGGUCCGGAAGAGUUUCCAGCCCCCUGGCACCAGGUGGAAGAAUUUAUAGACCAGCAUUGAGGAG